AUGGCCCUCAACCUGACCCACCAGACCGGCGCUGCAGGCAUCGCGGCCACCCCGGCGCCGGGCGCGCGCGCUUCGGUGUUCGCGGCGGCCUCGCCCGCCGCCGCCGCCGCCGCCAGCUCCGUCGUGGCGCAGGCGCAGGCGAGCAGCCUGAGGAUGCAGACGCAGCUGGUGGAGCCCGCGCAGCCGCAGGCGCAGGAGAUGUUCCAGGCCAUGGCGCCCGACCAGCAGCAGCAGGGCGAGGCCGAGCACCCGGACGCGGGCGGCGAGGAGGCGCGCAAGGUGGGCGUGCCGGUGUUCGUGAUGAUGCCGCUGGACACGGUGCGCAAGGACGGCAGCGCGCUGAACCGGCGCAAGGCGAUGCAGGCGUCCCUGGCGGCGCUCAAGAGCGCGGGCGCGGCCGGCAUCAUGGUGGACGUGUGGUGGGGCAUCGCCGAGAGCGAAGGCCCCGGCCAGUACAACUUCGCCGGCUACAUCGAGCUCAUGGAGAUGGCCAAGAAGGCCGGGCUCAAGGUGCAGGCCGUCAUGUCUUUCCACCAGUGCGGCGGCAACGUCGGAGACUCAGUCAACAUACCACUUCCGAAAUGGGUGACGGAGGAGAUGGACCAGGACCAGGACCUGGCGUACACGGACAGGUGCGGCCGCCGGAACUACGAGUACAUCUCGCUGGGCGCCGACGCGCUCCCGGCGCUCAAGGGCCGCACCCCCAUCCAGUGCUACGCCGACUUCAUGCGCGCCUUCCGCGACCACCUCGCGCCCUACAUGGGCAACACCAUCUGCGAGAUCCAGGUCGGCAUGGGCCCCGCCGGCGAGCUCCGCUACCCCUCCUACCCGGAGAGCAACGGCACCUGGUCCUUCCCCGGCAUCGGCGAGUUCCAGUGCUACGACCGCUACAUGCGCGCCAGCCUCAAGGCCGCCGCCGAGGCCGUGGGCAGGCCCGAGUGGGGCAACGCCGGCCCCGAGGACUCGGGCAGCUACAACCAGUGGCCCGAGGACACCGGCUUCUUCCGCCGCGACGGAGGAUGGAACACCGACUACGGCCAGUUCUUCAUGAGCUGGUACUCGCAGAUGCUGAUCGAGCACGGCGAGCGCAUCCUCUCCGCCUGCUCCUCCGUCUUCACCGGCAGCACCGGCGUCAAGGUCUCCAUCAAGGUGGCCGGCAUCCACUGGCACUACGGCACCCGCUCCCACGCCCCCGAGCUCACCGCCGGCUACUACAACACCAGGAACCACGACGGGUACCUGCCCAUCGCGCGCAUGAUCGCCCGCCACGGCGCCGUGCUCAACUUCACCUGCGUCGAGAUGCGCAACCACGAGCAGCCGCAGGACGCGCAGUGCAUGCCCGAGGCGCUCGUCAGCCAGGUGGCCGGCGCCGCCAAGGAGGCCGGCGUGGGCCUCGCCGGCGAGAACGCCCUGCCCAGGUACGACGAGACGGCGCACGACCAGGUGCUGGCCACCGCCGCCGAGAAGGCCGAGGAGGACCGCAUGGUCGCCUUCACCUACCUCCGCAUGGGCCCCGACCUCUUCCAGCCCGACAACUGGCGCCGCUUCGCCGCCUUCGUCAAGCGCAUGACGGAGACCGGCGUCAGGGACGUGAGCCGGGAGCAGGUGGAGCGCGAGGCUCAUAACGUCGCCCACGCCACCCAAGGCGUCAUCCAGGAGGCCGCCGUCGCCCUCUGCAACUAA
Molecule: ribosomal RNA, 1683 nt
Filed under: Triticum aestivum (bread wheat)
Lineage: Eukaryota; Viridiplantae; Streptophyta; Magnoliopsida; Poales; Poaceae
Description: partial small subunit ribosomal RNA
Source: RNAcentral